RNAcentral lists this transfer RNA (77 nucleotides) under Deltaproteobacteria bacterium. Its description in RNAcentral is "tRNA-Pro". It matches the Rfam family "tRNA". Rfam says of the family: Transfer RNA (tRNA) molecules are approximately 80 nucleotides in length. Their secondary structure includes four short double-helical elements and three loops (D, anti-codon, and T loops). RNAcentral also lists the same sequence under 3 other names. The record is from RNAcentral. Lineage: Bacteria; Pseudomonadati; Myxococcota; Myxococcia.
CGGGGCGUAGCGCAGCCUGGUAGCGCACCUGCUUUGGGAGCAGGGGGUCGGAGGUUCGAAUCCUCUCGCCCCGACCA